This is a long non-coding RNA of Gadus macrocephalus (Pacific cod), 608 nucleotides long. RefSeq lists it as uncharacterized. The record is from RefSeq and is a predicted model, not a curated record. Lineage: Eukaryota; Metazoa; Chordata; Actinopteri; Gadiformes; Gadidae. The transcript has 2 exons.
AACAAGUGUUUCAAUCGUCCCGACAGUGACUACUGACACUUAAUCCUUUUUUACAUCUAAACUUCAAAACUCUGACAUUGCACACUUUAGCACAGGUUUAAGUACUAAUUCAUCUUCAGAAGUACCACUAACUUAUGCCACUUUUCCACCGCACAUGUAGCUCGACUCGACACGACACGACUCGACACGACUCGACACGGUAGCAGCGCGGGUCCUUUUCCACCGCAAAUAGUACCUCCGGGACGUGGGCGGGGUCGGCUGCGCGAAAGGGCCGUGACGUAUUUUUGUACGCGACGCAAACAACACCUACGUAACCCACACAUGGACAGAACCCACAUAACAACAAUGGAGAACAUCGAUGCGAUGGUAUUCGUGUUCGUAUUAUUAGCUGGCAUGUUGAAGAAGUGGAAUAUGUUGGCUGCGGCGCUGCUAUGGCUGUUACCAGCAUGGUUGCCAUGUCGCUCUCGUGACUUCGUCACACUCUCUGGCCAAUCAGUGGCCGGCCGUCUGCCGACGUCACCUUUUAGCAUCGGCUCAGCCGCUUGGAACCUAGAGCGAGGCGGUACUAGAAAAAGCAGCCACUUCAGGUACCAGAUACCAUGUUUUCG